CCUACGGGUGGCAGCAGUGGGGAAUAUUGGACAAUGGGCGAAAGCCUGAUCCAGCCAUGCCGCGUGUGUGAAGAAGGCCUUCGGGUUGUAAAGCACUUUCAGUGGGGAAGAAAGCCUUGGGGCUAAUACCCUCGAGGAAGGACAUCACCCACAGAAGAAGCACCGGCUAACUCCGUGCCAGCAGCCGCGGUAAUACGGAGGGUGCGAGCGUUAAUCGGAAUUACUGGGCGUAAAGCGCGCGUAGGCGGUCUGAUAAGCCGGUUGUGAAAGCCCCGGGCUCAACCUGGGAACGGCAUCCGGAACUGUCAGGCUAGAGUGCAGGAGAGGAAGGUAGAAUUCCCGGUGUAGUGGUGAAAUGCGUAGAGAUCGGGAGGAAUACCAGUGGCGAAGGCGGCCUUCUGGACUGACACUGACGCUGAGGUGCGAAAGCGUGGGUAGCAAACAGGAUUAGAUACCCUGGUAGUC
This 465-nucleotide ribosomal RNA is filed under the name Vreelandella stevensii. Its description in RNAcentral is "partial 16S ribosomal RNA". It matches the Rfam family "Bacterial small subunit ribosomal RNA", at positions 338 to 795 of the family's 1533-position model. Lineage: Bacteria; Pseudomonadati; Pseudomonadota; Gammaproteobacteria; Oceanospirillales; Halomonadaceae. The record is from RNAcentral.